UACGUAGGGGGCAAGCGUUGUCCGGAAUCAUUGGGCGUAAAGAGCGUGUAGGCGGCCCGAUAAGUCCGCCGUGAAAGUCCAGGGCUCAACCCUGGAAUGCCGGUGGAAACUGUCGGGCUCGAGUUCGGAAGAGGCGAGUGGAAUUCCUGGUGUAGCGGUGGAAUGCGCAGAUAUCAGGAGGAACACCGAUGGCGAAGGCAGUUCUCUGGGCCGUAACUGACGCUGAGGAGCGAAAGCGUGGGGAGCGAACAGG
RNAcentral lists this ribosomal RNA (253 nucleotides) under uncultured bacterium. RNAcentral describes it as "partial 16S ribosomal RNA". It matches the Rfam family "Bacterial small subunit ribosomal RNA", at positions 524 to 776 of the family's 1533-position model. The record is from RNAcentral.